This 1518-nucleotide long non-coding RNA is filed under the name Capsicum annuum. RNAcentral's name for it is "long non-coding RNA (CANN_LNC022239)". The record is from RNAcentral. Lineage: Eukaryota; Viridiplantae; Streptophyta; Magnoliopsida; Solanales; Solanaceae.
CUCAAUAUGCUUACAUGAAAACUCUCUGCAAAGUGGUUUACCGUGCUUAAGCUUUGAUUUGAAAUUUUCUUUAGUUUAUCUUUUCGUGUGUUUGCCUUGGUAAACUUUGAAUUUGCUUCUGUAAAAGUUCAACUAUGGUUCCUGCAUUGUCUAUCUUAAUCAUUUACUUUAUUAAAACAUCAAAAUUUAAGUUAUAUUAAUCCUUAUCUUUUCUUUGUCUCAUGUGAACUCGGGAGCGCAAUUGGAGUUUAUGACUCGACUCCAUCUCUCUCCAUAUCGGAGAAGCGAUAACAAAUACAUUAUGGAUCUCAGUCAAUCAGUCUAGUUCCUCAUCCUUAUUUUUAGCUUUAUUCCUCUUUGUUGUUGUUGUUGUUGUUAUUAUUAAUAUUUUAUUUUAUUUUUAUGACAACAAUAAGGUUGCAUAUUUUAGGAUUUAUCUUUUAAAAUUUUCAAAAAAAGUGAGUGAACCUUUCUAAAAAACUUUUUCAAUAAUUAACAUGUUUUGUUUUAAUAAGACGAUUAUAUUUUUAAUACCUUAUUUAUAUCUUUCUUAACGAAGCUUUUACUUUUUUUUAUCUAAUCUAAGUUUGGCCGGUUAACUGUAGUUAGCGGAUCCUUUAGGAUGCCUAAUCCCUUCCCUUUAGGAUAAUUAGAAUCCUUACUUAGAAUUUUAGGUUUUUGCAGACCUUAAAAUGAAGUCUUUAAUUGCUUUAAUCACAUAGUUUAUAACAGGUGUCCUAAUUCACCGUAGAACUAAUUAGGUGGCGACUUCCUUAUUUAACUCAGAAGUUUUCCAAUAUGUUGUACACUAUUUUGACCUCGUGUUAAAAUGGGGUAUAACAAUAUGUUUUUGCACCUAAGCAAUAGCAAUCAAUCUCUAUUCCAAAUUAACACAAUUUUUUCAGGCUAAUUUCUAAAUACCUUUAAAAGUUGUUUUUUUUUUUUUUUAAAUAACAAAAUCAAAAAUAAAUUCAAAUCUAAAAGCCAGAUUUAGUAAUUAAUUAUCACUUCAUAAAAUCCAUUUGAAUUAGUCAUGCUAGAUCUUAGUGUUCAUUAUGAUACAAAUAUACCACAUCAACUCCUUAAGUACCGGCGAUGAAAUUUCAUUGAUACAGAGCCAAUUUCAAUAGAAGUAUUGAGAAAAUCAUAAUGUACUUUGAUGAUCGAUACAAAAAAGUUAUAUACUGAUAGUAUAAAGAAUUUUUACAUUAUCAGUGUAACUCGAUGACCUGUGUAUAAGAAAUCUACAAACAUUCAUACUGACAAAACACUACAUAAAGACCAGAUAAAACACUCAAGAAAUGGAAGUGUUUAGUAUCUUUCUCUAUCACUGUUUGAUUUAUCACUUGCAAUACGAUCAACAUGACUUCUAAUAGUUUGCAAUGCAGGUGGUGAUUUGCUAGUGUCUUCUGCAUUUUCCUCCUUAUGAUCAUCGUCGUGUUUCUUGAUAUUCAAUAUAAACUCUAACGCGUUCACUACUUCGCUGAUUAGAGGUCGCAUUCUGGAGUCCUCUUGCAG